RNAcentral lists this ribosomal RNA (269 nucleotides) under uncultured prokaryote. Its description in RNAcentral is "partial 16S ribosomal RNA". It matches the Rfam family "Bacterial small subunit ribosomal RNA", at positions 524 to 792 of the family's 1533-position model. The record is from RNAcentral.
UACGUAGGGGGCUAGCGUUAUCCGGAUCUAUUGGGUUUAAAGGGUGCGUAGGCGGCCUUGUAAGUCAGCGGUGAAAUUUUGCAGCUUAACUGUAAAAGUGCCGUUGAUACUGUGAGGCUAGGAUUUGGUUGCUGUGGGUGGAAUGUGUGGUGUAGCGGUGAAAUGCGUAGAUAUUAGGAGGAACACCAGUUGCGAAGGCGGCUCUCUGGACUGUAACUGACACUGAGGCACGAAAGCGUGGGGAGCAAACAGGAUUAGAUACCCUGGUA